RNAcentral lists this ribosomal RNA (37 nucleotides) under Puccinia allii. RNAcentral describes it as "partial 28S ribosomal RNA". Lineage: Eukaryota; Fungi; Basidiomycota; Pucciniomycetes; Pucciniales; Pucciniaceae. The record is from RNAcentral. RNAcentral also lists the same sequence under 1 other name.
AGACCUCAAAUCAGGUGGGACUACCCGCUGAACUUAA